GUCUGGUUCGAGUAAUUAAGUCUGAGGGGUGUUUCACCUAAUGCCUUGAGCCAACUGGAUCAAGAGUCAUUGACCCAAAGCUCGUUACAUGGACCUUACUAGAGCCUAAUUGAGUUGGACUGUUGUAGUCACUGUGCAAAAAAAAAGAAAAAAAAUAUUAAAAUAAACAUGAGUAGGUUAGUUAAAUUAAAACCAAGUGACUUGUGGAUGACUGGUUUGACUUCAUUGUUUUAGAACUCUGUGUACCUGGGAUGUCUAGUUGGGAUUGAUAGCUUCAUUUUUAUAUGCAAACCAUUCUGGACAAAUAACAUGUGAUAUUCGGAAAAUUUAGUGGGUCGGGAGCUAACAAAUGGUAGUUAACACUUGUGAAUUUGAGUAGUGCACCUAGAACUCAAGGGGUGCCC
Molecule: long non-coding RNA, 404 nt
Filed under: Phoenix dactylifera (date palm)
Lineage: Eukaryota; Viridiplantae; Streptophyta; Magnoliopsida; Arecales; Arecaceae
Description: long non-coding RNA (PDAC_LNC010387)
Source: RNAcentral